GUGCCAGCCGCCGCGGUAAGACGAACCGUGCAAACGUUGUUCGGAAUCACUGGGCUUAAAGGGCGCGUAGGCGGGCCGCCAAGUCUGUGGUGAAAGCCUCCAGCUCAACUGGAGAAGUGCCGUGGAUACUGGCGGCCUCGAGGAGGGUAGGGGCAUCUGGAACAGUAGGUGGAGCGGUGAAAUGCGUUGAUAUCUACUGGAACUCCGGUGGCGAAGGCGAGGUGCUGGACCCUUUCUGACGCUGAGGCGCGAAAGCCAGGGGAGCAAACGGGAUUAGAUACCCCCGUAGUCC
RNAcentral lists this ribosomal RNA (292 nucleotides) under uncultured bacterium. RNAcentral describes it as "partial 16S ribosomal RNA". It matches the Rfam family "Bacterial small subunit ribosomal RNA", at positions 505 to 796 of the family's 1533-position model. The record is from RNAcentral.